UACAGAGGUCUCAAGCGUUGUUCGGAUUCAUUGGGCGUAAAGGGUGUGUAGGUGGCGCGCUAAGUCGGGUGUGAAAUUUCGGAGCUUAACUCCGAAACUGCAUUCGAUACUGGCGUGCUUGAGGACUGGAGAGGAGACUGGAAUUCAUGGUGUAGCAGUGAAAUGCGUAGAUAUCGAGAGGAACACCAGUGGCGAAGGCGAGUCCCUGGACAGAUCCUGACGCUGAGGCACGAAAGCUAGGGGAGCAAACAGG
Molecule: ribosomal RNA, 253 nt
Filed under: uncultured bacterium
Lineage: Bacteria
Description: partial 16S ribosomal RNA
Rfam family: Bacterial small subunit ribosomal RNA
Source: RNAcentral